UACAGAGGGUGCAAGCGUUGUUCGGAAUUACUGGGCGUAAAGCGCGCGUAGGCGGCUUUGCAAGUCGAUUGUGAAAUCCCCAGGCUUAACCUGGGAACUGCAUUCGAGACUGCAUAGCUAGAGUAUGGGAGAGGGAAGUGGAAUUUCAGGUGUAGCGGUGAAAUGCGUAGAUAUCUGAAGGAACAUCAGUGGCGAAAGCGACUUCCUGGACCAAUACUGACGCUCAUGUGCGAAAGCGUGGGGAGCAAACAGG
RNAcentral lists this ribosomal RNA (253 nucleotides) under uncultured bacterium. Its description in RNAcentral is "partial 16S ribosomal RNA". It matches the Rfam family "Bacterial small subunit ribosomal RNA", at positions 524 to 776 of the family's 1533-position model. The record is from RNAcentral.